GACGGAGCGAUGCCGCGUGGAUGAAGAAUGCUGAGAUGUUGUAAAAUCCUUUUAUGAGUGAGGAAUAAUAGUACUAGGAAAUGAGUAUUAGAUGACGUUAGCUCAUGAAUAAGCUCCGGCCAAUUACGUGCCAGCAGCCGCGGUAACACGUAAGGAGCGAGCGU
RNAcentral lists this ribosomal RNA (164 nucleotides) under uncultured Spirochaeta sp. Its description in RNAcentral is "partial 16S ribosomal RNA". It matches the Rfam family "Bacterial small subunit ribosomal RNA", at positions 385 to 541 of the family's 1533-position model. Lineage: Bacteria; Pseudomonadati; Spirochaetota; Spirochaetia; Spirochaetales; Spirochaetaceae. The record is from RNAcentral.